GGAGCCUCUGACACUGGGAAGGCUGUCUGGUGUUUGUUUGUUUGUAUGAAUAUAUUAACUUAACAUUUUGCAGCAAAGAGAGUAGAGGUGUAAGUCAUGUUUUUGAUAUUGUAAAGGUAAAGAUAUACAAGAAGAGAAGGAAUAUUAGACUAGUGGCAGGAAGGGUGUUUGGUGCUUGUGUGUGUGAAUGCAUAAAUUUGACGCCUCCUAGCAAAGAGAGUAGAAUUAUAAGUCAUGUAUUUGGUAUUGUAUUGAUAAAGCUAUACGUGAAGAACAAUUGGCAUCAGUCUGUUUGGUGGUUUUGUUGUACAGAUAAUAUUCUAACACUAGGUAAAGAGAGUAGAGUCCCAAGUCAUGUAUUUGAAGCUGUAAAGGUAAAGUUGGAAGUUAGGAGAGUGUUAUUAUCAGUGUUUGGUGGUUGUAGUUUAUAAAUCCAUUUGAAAGUAACUGUAAAGGUUAAGUUUUAAGAAGAUAAUAAAUGUUAGUAUUAG
This is a long non-coding RNA of Eriocheir sinensis (Chinese mitten crab), 491 nucleotides long. RefSeq lists it as uncharacterized. The transcript is spliced from 2 exons. The record is from RefSeq and is a predicted model, not a curated record. NCBI's taxonomy places the organism in Eukaryota, Metazoa, Arthropoda, Malacostraca, Decapoda, Varunidae.